CCAAUAGCGUAUAUUAAAGUUGUUGCAGUUAAAAAGCUCGUAGUUGAAUUUCGGGAUCAAUACGUCGGUCGUGCUUUCGGGUACGUACUGGCGUCAUUGGUUUCUCAUUUCUGACGAACCAUGAUGUCAUUAAUUUGGUGUCUUGGGAAAUCAGGACUGUUACUUUGAAAAAAUUAGAGUGUUUAAAGCAGGCUCACGCUUGAAUACAUUAGCAUGGAAUAAUGAAAUAGGACGUUUGAUUCUAUUUUGUUGGUUUCUAGGAUCGACGUAAUGAUUAAUAGGGAUAGUUGGGGGCAUUAGUAUUCAAUUGUCAGAGGUGAAAUUCUUGGAUUUAUUUAAGACUAACUACUGCGAAAGCAUUUGCCAAGGAUGUUUUCAUUAAUCAAGAACGAAAGUUAGGGGCUCGAAGACGAUCAGAUACCGUCGUAGUCUUAACCAUAAACUAUGCCGACUAGGGAUCGGAUGAUGUUAAUUUUUUAAUGACUCAUUCGGCGCCUUACG
RNAcentral lists this unclassified non-coding RNA (501 nucleotides) under uncultured Glomus. Its description in RNAcentral is "SSU rRNA". It matches the Rfam family "Eukaryotic small subunit ribosomal RNA", at positions 591 to 1092 of the family's 1831-position model. Lineage: Eukaryota; Fungi; Glomeromycota; Glomeromycetes; Glomerales; Glomeraceae. The record is from RNAcentral.